Molecule: ribosomal RNA, 433 nt
Filed under: uncultured bacterium
Lineage: Bacteria
Description: partial 16S ribosomal RNA
Rfam family: Bacterial small subunit ribosomal RNA
Source: RNAcentral
AACGAACGCUGGCGGCAUGCCUAACACAUGCAAGUCGAACGAGACCUUCGGGUCUAGUGGCGCACGGGUGCGUAACCCGUGGGAACCUGCCCUUAGGGUCGGAAUAACUCUCAGAAAGGGGUGCUAUUACCGGACAAUGUCUACGGCCCAAAGAUUUAUCGCCUUUGGAUGGGCCCGCGUUGGAGUAGCUAGUUCGUAGGUUAAAGGCCUACCAAGGCGACAUUCCAUAGCUGGUCUGAGAGGAUGAUCAGCCACACUGGGACUGGGACACGGCCCAGACUCCUACGGGAGGCAGCAGUGGGGAAUAAUGGACAAUGGGCGAAAGCCUGAUCCAGCAAUGCCGCGUGAGUGUGGAAGGCCUUAGGGUUGUAAAGCUCUGUUACCCGGGAAGAUAAUGACAGUACCGGGAGAAAAAGCUACGGCUAACUCCGUG